AGAUUGAACGCUGGCGGCAUGCCUAACACAUGCAAGUCGAACGGGAGUAGCAAUACUCUAGUGGCGGACGGGUGAGGAAUACGUAGGAAUUUGCCCUUAAGUGGGGGAUAACCCGGGGAAACCCGGAUUAAUACCGCAUGACCUCGAAAGAGCAAAGUGGGGGAUCGCAAGACCUCACGCUUUUGGAGAAGCCUACGUCGGAUUAGCUAGUUGGUGAGGUAAUGGCUCACCAAGCGACGAUCCGUAACUGGUCUGAGAGGAUGAUCAGUCACACCGGAACUGAGACACGGUCCGGACUUCCCGACGGGAGCAGCAGGUGGGGAAUA
Molecule: ribosomal RNA, 326 nt
Filed under: uncultured soil bacterium
Lineage: Bacteria
Description: bacterial SSU rRNA
Rfam family: Bacterial small subunit ribosomal RNA
Source: RNAcentral